RNAcentral lists this ribosomal RNA (274 nucleotides) under uncultured bacterium. RNAcentral's name for it is "partial 16S ribosomal RNA". It matches the Rfam family "Bacterial small subunit ribosomal RNA", at positions 523 to 796 of the family's 1533-position model. The record is from RNAcentral.
AUACGGGGGGUGCAAGCGUUAAUCGGAAUUACUGGGCGUAAAGCGCGCGGAGGCGGUUUGCUCAGUCGGAUGUGAAAGCCCAGGGCUCAACCUGGGAACUGCAUACGAUACUGGCAAACUAGAGUGUGAGAGAGGAUAGUGGAAUUUCCGGUGUAGCGGUGAAAUGCGUAGAUAUCGGAAGGAACAUCAGUGGCGAAGGCGACUGUCUGGCUCAACACUGACGCUGAGGUGCGAAAGCGUGGGUAGCAAACAGGAUUAGAAACCCUAGUAGUCC